This 439-nucleotide ribosomal RNA is filed under the name Escherichia coli. Its description in RNAcentral is "bacterial SSU rRNA". It matches the Rfam family "Bacterial small subunit ribosomal RNA", at positions 1055 to 1494 of the family's 1533-position model. Lineage: Bacteria; Pseudomonadati; Pseudomonadota; Gammaproteobacteria; Enterobacterales; Enterobacteriaceae. The record is from RNAcentral.
UCAGCUCGUGUUGUGAAAUGUUGGGUUAAGUCCCGCAACGAGCGCAACCCUUAUCCUUUGUUGCCAGCGGUCCGGCCGGGAACUCAAAGGAGACUGCCAGUGAUAAACUGGAGGAAGGUGGGGAUGACGUCAAGUCAUCAUGGCCCUUACGACCAGGGCUACACACGUGCUACAAUGGCGCAUACAAAGAGAAGCGACCUCGCGAGAGCAAGCGGACCUCAUAAAGUGCGUCGUAGUCCGGAUUGGAGUCUGCAACUCGACUCCAUGAAGUCGGAAUCGCUAGUAAUCGUGGAUCAGAAUGCCACGGUGAAUACGUUCCCGGGCCUUGUACACACCGCCCGUCACACCAUGGGAGUGGGUUGCAAAAGAAGUAGGUAGCUUAACCUUCGGGAGGGCGCUUACCACUUUGUGAUUCAUGACUGGGGUGAAGUCGUAACAA